UAGGGAAUAUUGCUUAAUGGGCGAAAGCCUGAAGCAGCAACGCCGCGUGUGCGAAGAAGGCCUUCGGGUUGUAAAGCACUUUUUGGAGGGAUGAGGAAGGACAGUACCUUCAGAAUAAGCCUCGGCUAACCACGUGCCAGCAGCCGCGGUAAAACGUAGGAGGCGAGCGUUAUCCGGAUUUACUGGGCGUAAAGCGCGUGUAGGCGGCUCGACAAGUUGGAUGUGAAAGCUCCUGGCUUAACUGGGAGAGGUCGUUCAAAACUGUCGGGCUAGAGUAUGAGAGAGGGAGGUGGAAUUCCGGGUGUAGUGGUGAAAUGCGUAGAUAUCCGGAGGAACACCAGUGGCGAAAGCGGCCUCCUGGCUCAAAACUGACGCUCAGACGCGAAAGCUAGGGUAGCAAACGG
Molecule: ribosomal RNA, 404 nt
Filed under: uncultured bacterium
Lineage: Bacteria
Description: bacterial SSU rRNA
Rfam family: Bacterial small subunit ribosomal RNA
Source: RNAcentral